UCGGAGAUGCAGAGGUUAAUGUGUCGUAAAACACUUACUGUAAUAAAAGUUAAUAAAAUGUGUGUAGUGUAAAUACCUCACCGCAUCAACCA
This is a non-coding RNA of Tribolium castaneum (red flour beetle), 92 nucleotides long. Lineage: Eukaryota; Metazoa; Arthropoda; Insecta; Coleoptera; Tenebrionidae. The record is from RefSeq and is marked provisional.